GACUACCAGGGUAUCUAAUCCUGUUCGCUCCCCACGCUUUCGUCCAUCAGCGUCAAUCCACAAGUAGUAACCUGCCUUCGCAAUUGGUAUUCCAUGUAAUAUCUAAGCAUUUCACCGCUACACUACAUAUUCUAGUUACUUCCUUGUAAUUCAAGUCUAACAGUAUCAAUGGCCGUUCCAUCGUUGAGCGAUGGGCUUUCACCACUGACUUAUUAAACCGCCUACGGACCCUUUAAACCCAAUGAUUCCGGAUAACGCUUGGAUCCUCCGUAUUACCGCGGCUGCUGGCACGGAGUUAGCCGAUCCUUAUUCUUACGGUACCGUCAAGCUCCCUCACGAGGGAGUGUUUCUUCCCGUACAAAAGCAGUUUACACACCAUAGAUGCUUCUUCCUGCACGCGGCAUGGCUGGUUCAGGCUUGCGCCCAUUGACCAAUAUUCCUCACUGCAGCCUCCCGUAGG
Molecule: ribosomal RNA, 460 nt
Filed under: uncultured Flavobacterium sp.
Lineage: Bacteria; Pseudomonadati; Bacteroidota; Flavobacteriia; Flavobacteriales; Flavobacteriaceae
Description: partial 16S ribosomal RNA
Source: RNAcentral